AGGCGCAGAACGCCAGUGAGUCGCAUGUUUCGUUGACGAUCCCAGCAAAGGCGUUGGUUCCUGGGAUUCUGGUCAGGCGGUACUUGGAACAAUGGCUGCCGUGGACCAAGUUAGUGAGGUCCCCCUGAGAGAGCAUGGGCAAAAGGUCUAGCAGAACCUUAUAGAAGUACCGGAGGGUGAAAUCUAUACCCAUCACUGCAACUGCAUAACCAGGAGCCAUCUGAGAGCUGCAGACAGAGAGACGGGAAACAUGAAGACAGUGUUGGUUUGCAGAAAAAAAAAUGAAAUUUCUACAAACAAAAUGAUGAAAAGACAGCAGACAAAUUGGCGGUUCUUCUGAAAUCAGCGUUUCCUGGAAGCUGCUAGUGACUGAACCGUAGAACAGGAUAAAUCAUUAUUAUUACCAAAUGCACUGAAAGUUUGUGUAUACGGAGUGGUGGCAGGAACUGUAAACACUCACACAGUACAGCUGGAAACAGCACAGUGGCCGUCGGGGUUUGUUGCAUUUUGAGUUCAGUGAACAAGAAACAAAUAUUUGAAUCCAAGAUGAGGACUCUUUGUAGAAAACCUUUUGUAAACACUUCUGACCAAAGAACCCCAAAUUUUUAAUUUAACUUCUCCUCACCAAUACUGCUGUUGUUUCAUAGGGACUUAAACCUGAGAAAGCUUUAAAAAAUAAAAAAAUAUAUAACAGUGUGGA
Molecule: long non-coding RNA, 700 nt
Organism: Oryzias melastigma (Indian medaka)
Lineage: Eukaryota; Metazoa; Chordata; Actinopteri; Beloniformes; Adrianichthyidae
Exons: 2
Source: RefSeq, a predicted model, not a curated record